GAAAGAUCAUUCAUGUAUAUUCUAAAAUUACCACAGUCAUAAAAAGUCUUGGACUUUCAUGAGGAAAUAGCAUAGCUAGAUCUGAAAAAAUAUAGAAAAUCUUCAUCAAUGGAACUAUUCUUGGGGUAGACAUUAAUCAUACGAAAAGACAAAUGCUCAUUCCCUAAGAUAGCCUGAAUCUCAUUUAAAAUGUAGAAAACCGCUUGUUAGUAAAGAGACAUCUUCUACAGUAACCACUGAGAAGAAGUGGAAGUUUUUCAUCUCCUUUUUUUAUUCAAAAAGAAAAAGAAUUUCUCAACCACAGUUCACUUUAGUUAACCCCUUUGAUUGCCUAAUAAUAUCAAAAAUGAUUUCUCUGUUAAUUGGCUUCACGUUUUUGCUCUAUGCUGAAGUAGUGUUGGGAACUGCAGUGUAGCUUCCAUCUCUGUUUGGAGGUACACUGAUCUGAUCUGAUACUAGAGAAGAUAAAAAAUGAAUUAGCAAAUUGUGAACACAAUGAAAUGACUGACGUAGGUGUAGAUUCCAACAUUUUUCUGAAGGUGUCUUGACAAAAAAAAAAAAAGGCACAUGUGAAACCUUUCCAUUCUGUUCUUGAUGGCUUGGCUUUAAUGGCAUAUGGUUAAUGAGUUAAUAAUAAACAUAUCUGAAAGUGUGGGGGAGUUUUCAUUGGCCUUUAAAAACUUAUAUGGUGAGAUUAUGUCCACACUUAUUCUUUCAGCUUUCUUAAAGAGAAUAUUCAGUUUUAAAGAACAUAGUCACUUGUUUUGAGAUUUAUGUAUUAGCUUCGGAGAUCAGAACAUAAGAAUUUGAGGUAUGCAAGUCAACUCCCUCACUUUCUUUUAAAAAUCCUGGGAAAUCCGUUAUACCUUCCGUGCCUGAUUUUCUUCCUUUGCAAGUGGGUUGCUUGGCGUCCAGCUCAACCACUAAUGCAAGUCACCACAACAGGUACGUCUUCAAAUACCAUCUCAGCAGGCUGGGAGCCAAAUGAAGAAAAUGAAGAUGAAAGAGACAGACAACUCAGUUUUUCUGGAUCAGGCAUUGAUGAUGAUGAAGAUUUUAUCUCCAGCACCAGUAAGAAUAAUCAAUUAUAGUACAGCCAUUUAUGCAAGGCUUAUUGAUUAAUCUGAGUGAUACCAAAUUGUAUCUCUCUUGAGAAGUAGUUAAUAUGAAAAAUGGGUGAAACUAUGAUCAUACCUUAGUUAUAUCUUGAUGAGAUUAUGGAAGAAGAAAUAGAAUGUUUUGAGAAGUGGGGAAAAUGUCUCACAAAAUUUCUCUUGUCUCAUGUUCUUCCUAUUUUAUUUAUCUGUGAGAUCUACUGCUACAGAUUGUCUUUGAAUGAUCAGGCUUUAUCAGAGAAUGACAUUAAAACAGUAGAAAAAA
This 1380-nucleotide small RNA is filed under the name Pongo abelii (Sumatran orangutan). Its description in RNAcentral is "processed transcript". Lineage: Eukaryota; Metazoa; Chordata; Mammalia; Primates; Hominidae. The record is from RNAcentral.